AGUGUAAAUACCUCACCGC
This 19-nucleotide microRNA is filed under the name Tribolium castaneum (red flour beetle). RNAcentral's name for it is "tca-miR-3891-3p". Lineage: Eukaryota; Metazoa; Arthropoda; Insecta; Coleoptera; Tenebrionidae. The record is from miRBase by way of RNAcentral.